ACAGUGGUGGUUCAGCGGUAGGAUUCUUGCCUUCCAUGCAGGAGGCCCAGAUUUGAUUCCUAGCCAAUGCC
Molecule: transfer RNA, 71 nt
Filed under: Loxodonta africana (African savanna elephant)
Lineage: Eukaryota; Metazoa; Chordata; Mammalia; Proboscidea; Elephantidae
Rfam family: tRNA
About the family: Transfer RNA (tRNA) molecules are approximately 80 nucleotides in length. Their secondary structure includes four short double-helical elements and three loops (D, anti-codon, and T loops).
Source: Rfam by way of RNAcentral